Molecule: long non-coding RNA, 990 nt
Organism: Mastomys coucha (southern multimammate mouse)
Lineage: Eukaryota; Metazoa; Chordata; Mammalia; Rodentia; Muridae
Exons: 4
Source: RefSeq, a predicted model, not a curated record
UCCGGCUCCGCUCCACCGGCGCUGCCUGGGCUGGCGCUCUGGGUGGCCUUGGGCAGGUGCCCUGGGAGGCCCCACAGGGAAGCCCAGAGAAUCCGGAUCUGUCCCUAGUUCUGUGCGACAGACUUCGCUUUGCAAUGCCUCAGUUUUUUAUAAGAGGCAGACCUGUACCUUCCUGCUCCAGGGCAUCCUGGGCGGGCAGAUGGGUUUGGAGAGUUUACUGGGGGUGCCUGUGACCUCUUGGAGGUCAUUCCUCAGUCACUCCUUCCACAAGGGACCAAAGUUUGUGAGUGUGUUUGUGUGUAUGUGUGUGUGUGUGUGUGUGUGUGUGUGUAUGUGUGUGUGUGUGUGUGUGUGUGUUUGUUGGGGAGCCACAGGUGCUGUAGGAUGCCCACAACUUCGAAGUCCUUUGGUGAACCCCAAAAGGGGUGGUUGCUGCUUGCCAGUCUAGAAGGCUGGAGGAGGGGAGAGAGGAUCAUAGAGCCCAAAGUGGCGUUGAACUUGAUGUGUAGCAGAAGAUGAUCUUGAAUUACUACUGAUCCCCGACCCUCUGCCUCCACCUCCCAAGCACUGGCUUUACAGUGGCCAAGAUCUUCGAGCUUCCGGCUUGUAGGAGGAAGCCCAGGAAGGGAGAAGUGAGAGUUCCUGUCCUUGUCCGGAGAGAUUCAGCUGCCGUCCUCCUAGAUCAGAGAAGUGCAGAGGGAAGCCGAGGGCAAAUCUUCUAAGGCAAUUCUUGUGAAAAGGUCGUUCAACUUCCCAAAAGAUCGAGACUCACAGGUUGAGAACUGCUAUUCUAAGUGUUGUACUGAGACUGUCCAACACUCCAAGAGCCGCCCAGAUUCACCUCGCUGCUUGCUUCUGAGCCCUUCACCAUCAGCCAACAGAUGGCUUCUGCAGAGUGUCAGACAGUCCCUAUGCUCUGGCCCUGAGCAAGCAGGAGAUGUUCAGGGACAGAUUUCAGUUCUGGUGGUACUUUCUCAGUCUCCGGAGCCA